UUGCUUUGGUUGGAUUUUAUGAGUCUUAUCACAAACUGUUUGAACUUUUUUUGAAGGAAAGAUUAAGGUAAAGCCAGGUCUAUAAGGUAACAAACUGAUUCUUAGAGAAUAUGUAGCUGUUAGGAGCAAAAUAUCUUCCUAAAGCACAGAAAAUGAGUUUGUUCCCAAUUCUGUCAGCCAUCUGGUAAGAUUAUCUGAAACAAGUAUUUUUCGUCCCAAAGAGAAACAGCUGAAGAGUAGAAAGAGGCAGAGGCAGUGCAGUGCAGUGCGGAGUUGGAGAAUUAGGCAAAGCUGAGCGGAUGGGAUGCUGACACUAAAUAGAAUGCAGAGAAAUAAAUGAUUCCUUUAUUUAUUCUCAACUUUGAAGGAGUACACCAUGUCAAAUCAGUGGUGGGAAGGUGAUUAGGGAGACAUAUACUCAUUAUUGCUACUCAGAACAUUAGCUAAAUAUUCAUUGAGCUAUUUGCUAGAUAAAGAUACUAGAUGUUUCUGUUCUCAGCAAACCCACGAUCAUGUAAGAACAGAUAAAUCCACUGCUACGAAUGUGGUAAGCACAACAGAGAUAAGUCCACAGUACGCAGGUGGCGAAGGAAGAGUAUCUGAAAAGGCCUCCAGGAGGAGAGGAUAAUCUGAGCUAGAUGAGGAAAGACAGACAGGAGACUAACAGGCAUACGGGGACAUUCCGGAGCGGGCGUGCUGCCAUGGCACUGGGACAAUAUUAUGGGAAACAACACCGUGUUGUUAUUAUGAUUGGAAUUACUGGAGAAGACAGGCAGUACAUGAACCUGGAGAUCAUGACUGUUUGCUUUUAUGCUACAACAUUAAAGAACUUAAUUCGGUAAGUAGUAAACAAAGCAAACUGACAUUAAGUUUUGCUUUCUUAAAACUCUGAGAUAGUACAUAUAUAUGAAAAUUAAUAAAAUAUUUUUCAAAGUCUGAGACCACAUGGUUUUAUUCUAACAGGAAAUUCGUAUUUAUAAAAAUAGUCCUCUAUUUAGUUUAUCCCCUCUUGAAGCUUUUUAAGGAUUUCUUUUACACAUAGCGCUGGAAUGUUGCAUUCAUUAUUAUGGUUAGCUUUGUACUUUCUAUUCCCGAUCAUCACUGGGCCAUGACGUUCCAUCCUGCCCCCCUCAAGGGUUACAUGCCAUGCUGUGGGCAGAAGAGGUCCCCUGAGAGGUAUGCAGCACUGUUGGGGAAGACGGUGCUGACGGAAAGUCAGUCCACCUCUCCCUCCUGUAGCUCUAGGUCAUCGCGGCCACUCCGGCCCUGCUGAUGUGCUGGCCGUUCCCUCCCCACAGCCUGCUCUCCAGCUUCUCUGAGAGACAACAGCUGUUUCCAGCUGCACAGUUUCCUUUAUGCUUUUAUGGGCUCUUAAGCUGCAGCUGCUUGGCAUCUGCUCCCCUUGGCUCUUACAGAGGCGGGGAUUGUUUGAGAAGCAAAUUCCUGAGCUCUGGAUCAUUCCAUGUGAUAAUGUUAAAGAAAUCAUGAAACCUGUAUGAAAUUUUGUCAUGGGAAGAAGUAGCAUAAUUCAAUAGGUUGUUAUAAAUUUUAAAUGAGCAAGAGUCUUAUUUUUAGUAACACUCUUACCCUAACCAAAACGCAAACCUUUCUUUCUUAGUAAAAUAUUUCCCUUAAAUUGUCCACCUAAAUAUUAGUCAUCUCUUCUGGUAAAUAUGACACAUAUCUGUGGUUACUUGGCCAUGUUCCUUGCCUUUGAUUACUAAUGUUUCUCCAGAUUCUCCAUUUUAGACUUGGAAGAAAGACAGCAAUCAUCUCCUGCAAAGGCCAUAAGCAGGAGCCUUCUAUUUGUGCAGUGAGUACCACAUGCUUCUGAGGUUUGGAAAACGCCUGGGUCAUCCAAGUACCACUAAGUAUCUUGCAAAGCUACCGGAGGAUGUGCUCCACCAAUAACGAAUAAAAUCAAGAAAGAUGACCUGGGAUCACACACAGAAGAGAAAUGAUAGAAAUGUUAGGGUAAAAGGUCUCUCCCCAUGUGCCUCGAUGUCAGAAUGGAACGGGCACGUCCCCGGCGGGGGUCCUACUGUACCUGCGAGGCCAGUCUCCGCA
Chinchilla lanigera (long-tailed chinchilla) is the source of this 2067-nucleotide long non-coding RNA. RefSeq lists it as uncharacterized. The record is from RefSeq and is a predicted model, not a curated record. NCBI's taxonomy places the organism in Eukaryota, Metazoa, Chordata, Mammalia, Rodentia, Chinchillidae. The transcript has 3 exons.